GACGUAGGGUGCAAGCGUUGUCCGGAUUUACUGGGCGUAAAGAGCGCGUAGGCGGUCUGUUAAGUGAGAAGUGAAAUCUCCAGGGCUCAACCCGGAAACUGCUUUUCAUACUGGCAGACUUGAGGGAUGCAGAGGUUUGUGGAAUUCCUGGUGUAGCGGUGAAAUGCGUAGAGAUCCGAAGGAACGCCGGUGGCGAAAGCGGCGGACUGGGCACCUUCUGACGCUGAGGCGCGAAAGCCAGGGGAGCAAACGGG
Molecule: ribosomal RNA, 254 nt
Filed under: uncultured bacterium
Lineage: Bacteria
Description: partial 16S ribosomal RNA
Rfam family: Bacterial small subunit ribosomal RNA
Source: RNAcentral